AUUGAACGCUGGCGGCAGGCCUAACACACGCAAGUCGAGCGGAUGAAGGGAGCUUGCUCCUGGAUUCAGCGGCGGACGGGUGAGUAAUGCCUAGGAAUCUGCCUGGUAGUGGGGGAUAACGUCCGGAAACGGGCGCUAAUACCGCAUACGUCCUGAGGGAGAAAGUGGGGGAUCUUCGGACCUCACGCUAUCAGAUGAGCCUAGGUCGGAUUAGCUAGUUGGUGGGGUAAAGGCCUACCAAGGCGACGAUCCGUAACUGGUCUGAGAGGAUGAUCAGUCACACUGGAACUGAGACACGGUCCAGAGUCCUACGGGAGGCAGCAGUGGGGAAUAUUGGACAAUGGGCGAAAGCCUGAUCCAGCCAUGCCGCGUGUGUGAAGAAGGUCUUCGGAUUGUAAAGCACUUUAAGUUGGGAGGAAGGGCAGUAAGUUAAUACCUUGCUGUUUUGACGUUAACAACAGAAUAAGCACCGGCUAACUUCGUG
RNAcentral lists this ribosomal RNA (484 nucleotides) under uncultured bacterium. RNAcentral's name for it is "partial 16S ribosomal RNA". It matches the Rfam family "Bacterial small subunit ribosomal RNA", at positions 30 to 507 of the family's 1533-position model. The record is from RNAcentral.